UCGAACUCCGGAAGAUUGAUAUAGUCGGUCGCACCAGCAUUUUUGACAUAGAAGUAGGUCCGGUGCCAUUUCUUGCACGACUCGAGGCCUUGGAUUUUUGGGAACUCGGAGUUGCGGCGAGGACCAAUGGUGGCAGCCCCGCACUGUGUCAUCAUCUUCGGUGUGCCGGGGUUCUCCUUGUCCGGGAUAACCUGUGGCCGGAACAUAAAGUACCGGGACCAUAGGGCAAUGGAAGGCCAGAGGCCGAGAUAACCCUCGCAGCAAGUGACGAAGGCC
Molecule: long non-coding RNA, 276 nt
Filed under: Brachypodium distachyon (stiff brome)
Lineage: Eukaryota; Viridiplantae; Streptophyta; Magnoliopsida; Poales; Poaceae
Description: long non-coding RNA (BDIS_LNC000959)
Source: RNAcentral